Molecule: ribosomal RNA, 262 nt
Filed under: uncultured bacterium
Lineage: Bacteria
Description: partial 16S ribosomal RNA
Rfam family: Bacterial small subunit ribosomal RNA
Source: RNAcentral
GUCCACGCCCUAAACGAUGAUUACUCGACAUUAGCGAUAUUACAGUUAGUGUCUAAGCGAAAGCAUUAAGUAAUCCACCUGGGAAGUACGAUCGCAAGAUUGAAACUCAAAGGAAUUGGCGGGGGUCCGCACAAGUGGUGGAGCAUGUGGUUUAAUUCGAUGAUACGCGAGGAACCUUACCUGGGCUAGAAUGCAUUUUGACCGCAGGUGAAAGCCUGUUUUGUAGCAAUACACAAUUUGCAAGGUGCUGCAUGGCUGUCGU